Molecule: ribosomal RNA, 301 nt
Filed under: uncultured bacterium
Lineage: Bacteria
Description: partial 16S ribosomal RNA
Rfam family: Bacterial small subunit ribosomal RNA
Source: RNAcentral
CAGCCGCCGCGGGAAUACGUAGGUGGCAAGCGCUGUCCGGAAUUAUUGGGCGUAAAGGGCUCGCAGGCGGUUUCUUAAGUCUGAUGUGAAAGCCCCCGGCUCAACCGGGGAGGGUCAUUGGAAACUGGGAAACUUGAGUGCAGAAGAGGAGAGUGGAAUUCCACGUGUAGCGGUGAAAUGCGUAGAGAUGUGGAGGAACACCAGUGGCGAAGGCGACUCUCUGGUCUGUAACUGACGCUGAGGAGCGAAAGCGUGGGGAGCGAACAGGAUUAGAUACCCGUGUAGUCCCUGUCUCUUAUAC